This 291-nucleotide ribosomal RNA is filed under the name uncultured bacterium. RNAcentral describes it as "partial 16S ribosomal RNA". It matches the Rfam family "Bacterial small subunit ribosomal RNA", at positions 505 to 796 of the family's 1533-position model. The record is from RNAcentral.
GUGCCAGCAGCCGCGGUAAUACGUAGGUGGCAAGCGUUGUCCGGAAUUAUUGGGCGUAAAGGGAGCGCAGGUGGGAAUGUAAGUCAAUCUUAAAAGUGCGGGGCUCAACCCCGUGAUGGGAUAGAAACUACAUUUCUUGAGUGCAGGAGAGGAAAGUGGAAUUCCUAGUGUAGCGGUGAAAUGCGUAGAUAUUAGGAGGAACACCAGUGGCGAAGGCGACUUUCUGGACUGUUACUGACACUGAGGCUCGAAAGCUAGGGGAGCGAACGGGAUUAGAUACCCCGGUAGUCC